RNAcentral lists this ribosomal RNA (345 nucleotides) under uncultured bacterium. RNAcentral describes it as "partial 16S ribosomal RNA". It matches the Rfam family "Bacterial small subunit ribosomal RNA", at positions 338 to 680 of the family's 1533-position model. The record is from RNAcentral.
CCUACGGGAGGCAGCAGUGAGGAAUAUUGGUCAAUGGGCGCGAGCCUGAACCAGCCAAGUAGCGUGAAGGAUGACUGCCCUACGGGUUGUAAACUUCUUUUAUAAAGGAAUAAAGUGAGGCACGUGUGCCUUGUUGUAUGUACGUUAUGAAUAAGGAUCGGCUAACUCCGUGCCAGCAGCCGCGGUAAUACGGAGGAUCCGAGCGUUAUCCGGAUUUAUUGGGUUUAAAGGGAGCGUAGAUGGGUUGUUAAGUCAGUUGUGAAAGUUUGCGGCUCAACCGUAAAAUUGCAAUUGAUACUGGCAGUCUUGAGUACAGUUGCGUUCGGCGUCUUUCGUGUUGUAGCG